RNAcentral lists this microRNA precursor (94 nucleotides) under Pelobates cultripes (western spadefoot toad). Lineage: Eukaryota; Metazoa; Chordata; Amphibia; Anura; Pelobatidae. The record is from RNAcentral.
UGUGUGUGUGUGUGUGUGUGUGUGUGUGUGUGUGUAUAUAUAUAUAUACAUAUAUAUAUAUACACAUACAUACACACACACACACACACACGCG